CAUUGUAUGCUGGACUAUCAGAAUAUAGUCAACCCACUGAUCUCUAACCAUCUAACUCUGAAUAGGAAUAAUAAUUACAAUACAAACACUGGCAUCAAAUCUCUGUGUGAGAAAUCCUGCUGGUUUGCUGACAUCGAGGCCCCUCAGUUCAAGAGUCUCUGGGGGUUUGUGUGUGGAACGUGUAUCUGGGUAGCAUGGGAACAGCCGGGCUGCGUCUGGGAAAGGAAGCAGGCUGUCCCUUGUUGUUGCACAAUCUAAUUAUCUCUGAGUUUCAGUGAUAAGAAACUGGACAUGGGCUUUUUGUGACCAGUUGUGCAUCUGUUAGCUGGCUGGUAUACGAUUUGAAGCAUCUUCUUCACAGGUUCUAAUCAAGGCUUUUUCCAAGGGAUCCUCAAGAGAAAAAUACUGCUUUAAAGAGCAACAUAAAAAAAGCUGGGAUGGUGUCUGCUGCAUAUAUGCUGGUACUUAUAUUCGUCAAGACAGGAAUGGCUGCAAAACGUCUUGCUCCACCAUGUGACCAGCACAUGUUUAAUAGCAAUGUUGACAAUUGCCUGUCAGACUUCAACAAAAGCAUGGAGACAAGUGGCUAUCAGGACAGGUGCCCAUGGCCUGCUGUAAAAAGCAUCUACUACAAACUGAAGAGUUGCGUGGAUGGCUGGGCAGAAACGUCUUGGUGUAAGGGAUAUCAAUUUAUGCCAGAGAAGGUCUUCCUAAAUGUCCAUGAGACAUACUUCUUGGUUUGUGGACAAGUCCAAGACCCCCCACUCAUCACUCUCAUUAUGUUAAUAGCACCUGUUGUCAUUGUGACAUUAUUCCUGCCAUUCCUGUGUUCUGGCUUGAACUUAUUCUCAUAAUUGUGGCUAUUCUGAUAUUUGGUCUUGCUAACAUCGAAUUUGCCUACCUUUCGAGAGAUUGGAAAAAGUGGACUCCAGCAAAACAGCAUAACAAACGUUUUAAUAAACCUUAAUUUUCCAAAAGAAUAAUAAUUCAAUAACUGAAAACACUGGUCUUUAAGUCAAAACAAAAAACAGGAGGAACUAACUUGUUGGCUAACCAAACUCAUUGCCUAUUCAUCUGCUCUUGCCGGUUUGUUUACAUGUGUGAGGUUGUGUGUUACUCUGCCAUAACAAUAUUAGGACAUGGGAAGUUUUUGUUUGAAUUAGUGUCUUCUUUGGUUAUUUAAAAAAACUGAAUGUAGAGACUGGUUCAGUGGACUAGCAGGAGGAUUAUUGUGAGCCAAUCACCUUUGAGCUAGUCGACUCAGAGUACACAAACAAAUAACUAAAUGAAACUAAAUUACAGAGUGAAGACAAAAAAAGGCUGACAUGGUAUGCAACAAUUCUUACAACCCCUUAAGCAAUGACUUUUAGGAUAUUUUACAUUAUGGCAGAUAAGUCAAUAGUUUGGUUAGCUGGCAAGUUACCCUGGAAAGUAGAUCCCUGUGCAGUUAGGAACAAUAACUAAUCCAGGGGAAUAAUUCCUGUGUUUGCUUUUGGCCAGACUUAUAGACAAGCAUUUGAAAAGAUUUAUGUAUUUGGAAAGCUUUAGGAGGCUCAAGCUAUUAGCCCUGAUAUUAUCUUCCUGAAAUCUCUCAAAUGAAGGUGGUGAGUGCAAAAUUGGCAUGACCUAUAGUGAGAACAGCAACAACUAUGAAAACAAGACCUGGGUUAAAGAAAAGUACCAAAACAGAUACACACACAUACAACAUCAACAACAACAUCUGUUAAAAGGAAAUAUUUUACACAAACAUCAUAUCUCUUAAUGAUUGGGUGUGUCAUGAAAUUCUGUGAAACAGCAUCAAACAUAUGAUACAUUCUUUAAACAUAAAUUUAUACUUGACUGUCUAAAUACUGAACGUCUCAACUUUCUGAAGCUCAUUAUCUUUUCAUAUAUUUUGUCAUAUAUAGUCAACUCCACCCAUCUGGCACCUAUAGUAAGUAGAGGAAAACAAAACCUUAACAUUGAUUUACUGCACUGUUUCCCACCGAUUAUUUCAGAAGUCUACAUGAUUCUUGAAUAAUCUGUACUGUACUGUAUUUUUUUUUAAGAUGACAAAAGAACCAAUUCUGUUUGUAUUUGAAACACAUAAUAAAUAUUUAUUUCAGACAAAAAAAUAAUGUUUUACAGUUGUUUGAAAACCUCUUUACAGCAAUAGCAAGAUGGACCUGCUAUUCAAGUAUCCACAUGGCCUAAGAGUCUGUUACAAAUGCAAACAUACCACAUUUCAUAAUUUGUCAGAAGAUGAGUAUAAAUCAAGGGGCUGUUGUGUAGACGUCAUGAAGAUGGUGUGUUAUCAAAACAAAAUAAAGCUUCAUUUAGCAAGUUCAACGUUUCAGUUUCAACUUUGAAUCUACUGACUGACAAUCAACACCAAAAUCUGCAGCUCUCUACAUGACCAGUAAGGUAGAGAGAUGAAAUAAACAAGAGGGGAUUGAAGAGAAUCGAGGUGGACCAAAUAUAAUUUGCACAAUACUGAUCAUGACCAUGUUGCUCUGUUUCUGCUGGAUGUGUAUCAAGAUGAUUCAUUGCUAACACAUUAAGCCUUACACCUCGACUUGUUAGUGUGAGUAUGUUGUGAAGUUACUCUCUGUGCUAUAGUUGUUAAAAAAAAAAAAAAAAAAAA
Larimichthys crocea (large yellow croaker) is the source of this 2623-nucleotide long non-coding RNA. RefSeq lists it as uncharacterized. NCBI's taxonomy places the organism in Eukaryota, Metazoa, Chordata, Actinopteri, Sciaenidae. The transcript has 4 exons. The record is from RefSeq and is a predicted model, not a curated record.